RNAcentral lists this long non-coding RNA (861 nucleotides) under Scophthalmus maximus (turbot). RNAcentral's name for it is "lncRNA (ENSSMAG00000033744.1)". Lineage: Eukaryota; Metazoa; Chordata; Actinopteri; Pleuronectiformes; Scophthalmidae. The record is from RNAcentral.
UGCAGGAGUACUUUCGUAUACCGCUGAGCAGCCUGAGGUCGGUGCUCAGUGCGGCUCACAUCACCACCGUCCGACUGAUCAUCCAGUACUACAGCAGAUACAAGGAAACGCUGCAGGUGAGUCAGCACAGCCACAGGACACCUGCACACUCAACACACCGGGCUGUCUUUUGCUCUUUCUUCCCGGAAUUCUCGGCUCCGUGUUUCACGCGUAGCAGUCACUCACGUUCCUGCUGAUACAAAACUGGUGUUUGCUUCCCUCUUUUUUUCCGCAGUUGCCUGACCAGUACCUGUCCACCAUGGUGUCAGUGCUGCUCCAGACCCACGUGACAAAAGAUUUCAGUCUCUUCCCCGAGCUGGCUCCCCUGUUGGCCGCGGCCAGCACAGCUGACAUCCAAUCGUUGCCCUCGCUGCAGAAAGACAUCAUUGUGAGGGAGACCAUCAACAGAAACCUGGGGCACAUGACUGUGGACCAGCGGGACGCGUUCGGCCAGUGGUACAGCAAAGACAUGCCGCCGGCCAAAAUCACCGAAGGUCAUCACUCACUCAUUAGGGACACUGGAGACCUGAUCGCCUACCUGCCCUUCCGCAACUUCCAACACCUCUCGUGGCUCAGGUAACGGCUCUGACACCUCCCUGGGACAUCCGAGAAAGCAGGACUCUGUGAGUCCGAUUAGCGCCGGGUCACCGCAGGGCUGCUCGUCGUCACGCACUGGUCAAAAGAAAGCACACGCAGCCUCCUCUUUCUCCGUCACCCCCAAUGUGUGUCAUAUGCCUCGCCAAUGUUCAAUGAGUAAAGAUACUGUAGGCACACGUGAAUUACCAGUGAGCAGGAAAUAGGGGGUCACUGACCUUUCAGCAC